UACCCUUGACAUGUCUGGAAUCCUGAAGAGAUUUGGGAGUGCUCGCAAGAGAACCUGGACACAGGUGCUGCAUGGCCGUCGUCAGCUCGUGUCGUGAGAUGUUGGGUUAAGUCCCGCAACGAGCGCAACCCUUGUCAUCAGUUGCUACGAAAGGGCACUCUGAUGAGACUGCCGGUGACAAACCGGAGGAAGGUGGGGAUGACGUCAGGUCCUCAUGGCCCUUAUGGGUAGGGCUACACACGUCAUACAAUGGCCGGUACAGAGGGCAGCCAACCCGCGAGGGGGAGCCAAUCCCAGAAAACCGGUCGUAGUCCGGAUCGCAGUCUGCAACUCGACUGCGUGAAGUCGGAAUCGCUAGUAAUCGCGGAUCAGCUUGCCGCGG
This 382-nucleotide ribosomal RNA is filed under the name uncultured bacterium. RNAcentral describes it as "bacterial SSU rRNA". It matches the Rfam family "Bacterial small subunit ribosomal RNA", at positions 976 to 1362 of the family's 1533-position model. The record is from RNAcentral.